This 1017-nucleotide ribosomal RNA is filed under the name uncultured Alphaproteobacteria bacterium. RNAcentral describes it as "bacterial SSU rRNA". It matches the Rfam family "Bacterial small subunit ribosomal RNA", at positions 9 to 1073 of the family's 1533-position model. Lineage: Bacteria; Pseudomonadati; Pseudomonadota; Alphaproteobacteria. The record is from RNAcentral.
GAGUUUGAUCCUGGCUCAGAACGAACGCUGGCGGCAGGCCUAACACAUGCAAGUCGAGCGCUACCUUCGGGUGGAGCGGCGGACGGGUUAGUAACGCGUGGGAAUAUACCCAGUUCUAAGGAAUAGCCACUGGAAACGGUGAGUAAUACCUUAUACGCCCUUCGGGGGAAAGAUUUAUCGGAAUUGGAUUAGCCCGCGUUAGAUUAGAUAGUUGGUGGGGUAAUGGCCUACCAAGUCUACGAUCUAUAGCUGGUUUGAGAGGAUGAUCAGCAACACUGGGACUGAGACACGGCCCAGACUCCUACGGGAGGCAGCAGUGGGGAAUCUUAGACAAUGGGCGAAAGCCUGAUCUAGCCAUGCCGCGUGAGUKAUGAAGGCCCUAGGGUCGUAAAGCUCUUUACACUGUGAAGAUAAUGACGGUAGCAGUAGAAGAAACCCCGGCUAACUCCGUGCCAGCAGCCGCGGUAAUACGGAGGGGGUUAGCGUUGUUCGGAAUUACUGGGCGUAAAGCGUACGUAGGCGGAUUAAUAAGUUAGAGGUGAAAUCCCAGGGCUCAACCCUGGAACUGCCUUUAAAACUGUUAGUCCUGAGAUCGAGAGAGGUGAGUGGAAUUCCAAGUGUAGAGGUGAAAUUCGUAGAUAUUUGGAGGAACACCAGUGGCGAAGGCGGCUCACUGGCUCGAUACUGACGCUGAGGUACGAAAGUGUGGGGGAGCAAACAGGAUUAGAUACCCUGGUAGUCCACACCGUAAACGAUGAAUGCCAGACGUCAGCAAGCAUGCUUGUUGGUGUCACACCUAACGGAUUAAGCAUUCCGCCUGGGGAGUACGGUCGCAAGAUUAACACUCAAAGGAAUUGACGGGGGCCCGCACAAGCGGUGGAGCAUGUGGUUUAAUUCGACGCAACGGCAGAACCUUACCAACCUUGACAUACUUGUCGCGGAUUCAGAGAUGGAUUCUUCAGUUCGGCUGGACAAUGUACAGGUGCUGCAUGGCUGUCGUCACUCGUGUCGUGAGAC